AUGCCUGAUCAUUGCUGGUUUAUUGCAUUUGUCUUAAGAUGCUGCAGAAGGGAGUUGAUGACCUGUUUUUGUCCUCAUUUGCAUAUUAAAUUGCAUCAGUUAAUGUAUUCCCAGGAUUUUUUAACUGUGCAACUUGCCUAUUGUUUCGUGGAGACAAAUCUCAAGCAGAUACGUGCACCAGGUUUCACAUUUGCUGAUGGAAUCUUGACGAGGAGAAGGAUGCUUCUUAUCUUUCCCGAGGAAGAACACGAUGAUUCAGUAGGAACUACACUUCAGCUGCUUUCAACCAUUCCUCUGGUUGUGCUUACACUCCAUUUAGUUUCCAACAUUCUGCUUGUGCUUACACUCCACUUCUGCAUCCAUUCUUUUGAUAUCUGA
This 378-nucleotide ribosomal RNA is filed under the name Triticum aestivum (bread wheat). RNAcentral describes it as "partial small subunit ribosomal RNA". Lineage: Eukaryota; Viridiplantae; Streptophyta; Magnoliopsida; Poales; Poaceae. The record is from RNAcentral.